RNAcentral lists this ribosomal RNA (253 nucleotides) under uncultured bacterium. Its description in RNAcentral is "partial 16S ribosomal RNA". It matches the Rfam family "Bacterial small subunit ribosomal RNA", at positions 524 to 776 of the family's 1533-position model. The record is from RNAcentral.
GACAGAGGCCUCAAGCGUUAGGCGGAAUCACUGGGCUUAAAGCGUGUGUAGGCGGAUCGUUAAGUGUCUUGUGAAAUCCCACGGCUCACCCGUGGAACUGCUGGGCAUACUGGCGAUCUUGGGCCAACUAGGGGCAACUGGAACAAGCGGUGGAGCGGUGAAAUGCGUAGAUAUCGCUUGGAACGCCAAAGGUGAAAACAGGUUCCUGGGGUUGUGCCGACGCUGAGACACGAAAGCCAGGGGAGCAAACGGG